GACGAACGCUGGCGGCGUGCUUAACACAUGCAAGUCGAACGGUGAAGCUUCAAGCUUGCUUGGGGUGGAUCAGUGGCGAACGGGUGAGUAACACGUGAGCAACCUUCCCCAGACUCUGGCAUAAGCGCUGGAAACGGCGUCUAAUUCUGGAUAUGACAUCAAGCCGCAUGGUUAUGGUGUGGAAAGUUUUUCGGUCUGGGAUGGGCUGGCGGCCUAUCAGUUUGUUGGUGAGGUAAUGGCUCACCAAGGCGACGACGGGUAGCCGGCCUGAGAGGGCGACCGGCCACACUGGGACUGAGACACGGCCCAGACUCCUACGGGAGGCAGCAGUGGGGAAUAUUGCACAAUGGGCGCAAGCCUGAUGCAGCGACGCCGCGUGAGGGAUGACGGCCUUCGGGUUGUAAACCUCUUUCAGCAGGGAAGAAGCGAUAGUGACGGUACCUGCAGAAGAAGCACCGGCUAACUACGUGCCAGCCGCCGCGGUAA
RNAcentral lists this ribosomal RNA (486 nucleotides) under uncultured bacterium. RNAcentral's name for it is "partial 16S ribosomal RNA". It matches the Rfam family "Bacterial small subunit ribosomal RNA", at positions 28 to 523 of the family's 1533-position model. The record is from RNAcentral.